RNAcentral lists this ribosomal RNA (1553 nucleotides) under Shigella sonnei. RNAcentral describes it as "bacterial SSU rRNA". It matches the Rfam family "Bacterial small subunit ribosomal RNA". The record is from RNAcentral. Lineage: Bacteria; Pseudomonadati; Pseudomonadota; Gammaproteobacteria; Enterobacterales; Enterobacteriaceae.
AAAUUGAAGAGUUUGAUCAUGGCUCAGAUUGAACGCUGGCGGCAGGCCUAACACAUGCAAGUCGAACGGUAACAGGAAGCAGCUUGCUGCUUCGCUGACGAGUGGCGGACGGGUGAGUAAUGUCUGGGAAACUGCCUGAUGGAGGGGGAUAACUACUGGAAACGGUAGCUAAUACCGCAUAAUGUCGCAAGACCAAAGAGGGGGACCUUCGGGCCUCUUGCCAUCGGAUGUGCCCAGAUGGGAUUAGCUUGUUGGUGGGGUAACGGCUCACCAAGGCGACGAUCCCUAGCUGGUCUGAGAGGAUGACCAGCCACACUGGAACUGAGACACGGUCCAGACUCCUACGGGAGGCAGCAGUGGGGAAUAUUGCACAAUGGGCGCAAGCCUGAUGCAGCCAUGCCGCGUGUAUGAAGAAGGCCUUCGGGUUGUAAAGUACUUUCAGCGGGGAGGAAGGGAGUAAAGUUAAUACCUUUGCUCAUUGACGUUACCCGCAGAAGAAGCACCGGCUAACUCCGUGCCAGCAGCCGCGGUAAUACGGAGGGUGCAAGCGUUAAUCGGAAUUACUGGGCGUAAAGCGCACGCAGGCGGUUUGUUAAGUCAGAUGUGAAAUCCCCGGGCUCAACCUGGGAACUGCAUCUGAUACUGGCAAGCUUGAGUCUCGUAGAGGGGGGUAGAAUUCCAGGUGUAGCGGUGAAAUGCGUAGAGAUCUGGAGGAAUACCGGUGGCGAAGGCGGCCCCCUGGACGAAGACUGACGCUCAGGUGCGAAAGCGUGGGGAGCAAACAGGAUUAGAUACCCUGGUAGUCCACGCCGUAAACGAUGUCGACUUGGAGGUUGUGCCCUUGAGGCGUGGCUUCCGGAGCUAACGCGUUAAGUCGACCGCCUGGGAGUACGGCCGCAAGGUUAAAACUCAAAUGAAUUGACGGGGGCCCGCACAAGCGGUGGAGCAUGUGGUUUAAUUCGAUGCAACGCGAAGAACCUUACCUGGUCUUGACAUCCACAGAACUUUCCAGAGAUGGAUUGGUGCCUUCGGGAACUGUGAGACAGGUGCUGCAUGGCUGUCGUCAGCUCGUGUUGUGAAAUGUUGGGUUAAGUCCCGCAACGAGCGCAACCCUUAUCCUUUGUUGCCAGCGGUCCGGCCGGGAACUCAAAGGAGACUGCCAGUGAUAAACUGGAGGAAGGUGGGGAUGACGUCAAGUCAUCAUGGCCCUUACGACCAGGGCUACACACGUGCUACAAUGGCGCAUACAAAGAGAAGCGACCUCGCGAGAGCAAGCGGACCUCAUAAAGUGCGUCGUAGUCCGGAUUGGAGUCUGCAACUCGACUCCAUGAAGUCGGAAUCGCUAGUAAUCGUGGAUCAGAAUGCCACGGUGAAUACGUUCCCGGGCCUUGUACACACCGCCCGUCACACCAUGGGAGUGGGUUGCAAAAGAAGUAGGUAGCUUAACCUUCGGGAGGGCGCUUACCACUUUGUGAUUCAUGACUGGGGUGAAGUCGUAACAAGGUAACCGUAGGGGAACCUGCGGUUGGAUCACCUCCUUACCUUAAAGAAGC